Molecule: ribosomal RNA, 468 nt
Filed under: uncultured bacterium
Lineage: Bacteria
Description: partial 16S ribosomal RNA
Rfam family: Bacterial small subunit ribosomal RNA
Source: RNAcentral
GAUGAACGCUGGCGGCGUGCCUAACACAUGCAAGUCGAGCGAUCUUCUUCGGAAGAGAGCGGCGGACGGGUGAGUAACGCGUGGGUAACCUGCCUCAUACACAUGGAUAACAUACCGAAAGGUAUGCUAAUACAAGAUGAUAUAAGAGAUUCGCAUGAAUUUCUUAUCAAAGCUUUUGCGGUAUGAGAUGGACCCGCGUCUGAUUAGCUAGUUGGUAAGGUAAUGGCUUACCAAGGCGACGAUCAGUAGCCGACCUGAGAGGGUGAUCGGCCACAUUGGACCGGAGACACGGUCCAAACUCCUACGGGAGGCAGCAGUGGGGAAUAUUGCACAAUGGGCGAAAGCCUGAUGCAGCAACGCCGCGUGAGCGAUGAAGGCCUUCGGGUCGUAAAGCUCUGUCCUCAAGGAAGAUAAUGACGGUACUUGAGGAGGAAGCCCCGGCUAACUACGUGCCAGCAGCCGCCGUAA